UGUUUUGCAUUACAAGCACACAUUGUUAUUGAACUGUGAGACAAUAAUUACAAAGGGAACUCAAAGGUCUGCUAGAGUUAGUCCAAGGCAUUAUGCAUUUAAAUUUGGGGCACCUAGAGCUGCAGCGGUAAGAAAUUACACUUGAACAUUGUAACAACAGAAAGCUUUUUACAAUUAGGACAAGGGAUCUAUAAAUUUGGGAAAUACUGGUGAUAGUACUUGCCUUUUGAUUGUUGGAAACCUACCAGAAGCUGACAUACAUGACUAAGCUAUAAAUAUGUUUGCUAGUUUGAAAUAUUUAAUUGUUCUGAAGAUGCAUAACGAAAGAUUCCAUGUCUCUGAACAGAGCAAAUGCAGGUUAAAUGGAAAAUUCAGAAUAUUUUGGUAUGAAUUUACCAUAGUCAGACUAUUUUACCAAUGGGGGUCUUAGGUGGUGGCUUGAAGAAAGGAUGAUGGGGCUCUUUUAGAAUAUGAGAGCAGAAAAAAGGAAGGGGAAAUAGAGUAUAUACAGGGUUUUUCUUUCAUCUCUUUCUCAAAGGGCUUUAA
Molecule: unclassified non-coding RNA, 546 nt
Filed under: Hevea brasiliensis (rubber tree)
Lineage: Eukaryota; Viridiplantae; Streptophyta; Magnoliopsida; Malpighiales; Euphorbiaceae
Source: RNAcentral